UACGAGAGUAUAUGAGUGUAAGACUGUUGGUGAGAGAUUUAAAGAUGAUGUUAUGUAUCGUCAGCGAGGAUGUUUGCUGUCUGUCUGGCUGCACCUGAACUAUUAUCGGAAUGAUGGAUGUCUAAGUCACCCAGAAUCCUCUCGAUGUUUCUGGUCAAGGACGAGAAGCAGCUCUUGUUCGUGCUGACGUACCCCCUGAUAGUAUUUCCACCCUUUGGCUCUAAAAAGCCACAAACCCCAGAAAUGCUGGCACGGUGAUCUGACAGGAUCUCCUCAUGGAUAAAAUGACACAUCUGAUCUGCCUAACUCUCCAGAGGCCAUCCUUGUUCUCUGGCAGGUCGGAGUGAAUUUUGCUUGGACAGCGUCCAAUCUGACAGUACCUGACCAGAAUCCUGCAUUAGCCUGUUCACCUCUCACACAAUGGAUCAAUAAUGAUUAAGAGACAAGGGCACUCUUAAAGUUAUCCGGAACAAGUCUGCUUCUAGAAACAACUUCAUGCAGUGUGCACAGGCAUGCUUUGAGGUCGGAAACAAAAACUCUGAAGCAAGAUAUUUAUAAAGUAAUGGAUAGCGAACAAUCCUUCUGUGCCAGUGGGGUAAGGGUUGCUUCUAGUUUACUUUAAAACACAGGAAUGACAUAAUCGCCAUCUGUUUCUUGGUACAUUCAUUAAAACUUGGACAUUUCUACAGUCAGACCAACAUGUCAGUAUUAAAUAAUUCUUUAAUAAAGAGACUUCAUAGUCUUGCCAUAAAGAAAGCUUACUAUCAGUGUAAAACAUUUCUAAACAGUUUGGCUCCUUGUGAACCAAAAAUGUCAUUUAACUGUCAUGAAAACAAUAUUAUUGUAAGAUUUUUUCCCAUUAACCAUUCUGAGCCAGCAAGUAUUUGAUGGCCAAUCAGUUGGCUACUGUUUUAUCUCCUACGUAUACCAUAAUGCUGUUGAUUUCUCAAAUCUAAUUGGGCAUUUCUCUCAGUAGUCCCAGCUACAUGACUAAUCACAGGUUUAUAUUAAUGUGUAUGUCAUAUUAAGGUAUUGUUUCUAUAGAAACAGCUAAUUCACAGGGAUG
Hemibagrus wyckioides is the source of this 1066-nucleotide long non-coding RNA. RefSeq lists it as uncharacterized. The record is from RefSeq and is a predicted model, not a curated record. Lineage: Eukaryota; Metazoa; Chordata; Actinopteri; Siluriformes; Bagridae. The transcript has 4 exons.